GUAGGUGACAAGCGUUGUCCGGAUUUACUGGGCGUAAAGAGCGCGCAGGCGGUCGGUCAAGUCGAGUGUGAAAGCCCCCGGCUCAACUGGGGAGGGUCAUUCGAUACUGAUCGACUCGAAGGCAGGAGAGGGUAGUGGAAUUCCCGGUGUAGUGGUGAAAUGCGUAGAUAUCGGGAGGAACACCAGUGGCGAAGGCGACUACCUGGCCUGUUCUUGACGCUGAGGCGCGAAAGCUAGGGGAGCAAACGGGAUUAGAUACCCGGUAGUCCUAGCCGUAAACGAUGGACACUAGGUGUUGGUGGUAUCAACCCCGCCAGUGCCGAAGCUAACGCAUUAAGUGUCCCGCCUGGGGAGUACGGCCGCAAGGCUA
Molecule: ribosomal RNA, 370 nt
Filed under: uncultured bacterium
Lineage: Bacteria
Description: bacterial SSU rRNA
Rfam family: Bacterial small subunit ribosomal RNA
Source: RNAcentral